Molecule: ribosomal RNA, 585 nt
Filed under: uncultured bacterium
Lineage: Bacteria
Description: bacterial SSU rRNA
Rfam family: Bacterial small subunit ribosomal RNA
Source: RNAcentral
UAACGCAGCUAACGCGUGAAGUAGACCGCCUGGGGAGUACGGUCGCAAGAUUAAAACUCAAAUGAAUUGACGGGGGCCCGCACAAGCGGUGGAUUAUGUGGAUUAAUUCGAUGCAACGCGAAAAACCUUACCUGGCCUUGACAUGUAACGAACUUUCCAGAGAUGGAUUGGUGCUCGAAAGAGAACGUUAACACAGGUGCUGCAUGGCUGUCGUCAGCUCGUGUCGUGAGAUGUUGGGUUAAGUCCCGCAACGAGCGCAACCCUUGCCAUUAAUUGCCAUCAUUUAGUUGGGCACUUUAAUGGGACUGCCGGUGACAAACCGGAGGAAGGUGGGGAUGACGUCAAGUCCUCAUGGCCCUUAUAGCCAGGGCUUCACACGUAAUACAAUGGUCGGUACAGAGGGUUGCCAAGCCGCGAGGUGGAGCCAAUCCCAGAAAGCCGAUCGUAGUCCGGAUUGUAGUCUGCAACUCGACUACAUGAAGUCGGAAUCGCUAGUAAUCGCGGAUCAGCAUGUCGCGGUGAAUACGUUCCCGGGCCUUGUACACACCGCCCGUCACACCAUGGGAGUGGGUUUUACCAGAAGUA